GAUGAACGCUGACAGAAUGCUUAACACAUGCAAGUCUUUGGCGAAGCUGUGCUUGCACAGCCUAGCCAAGGCGGACGGGUGAGUAACGCGUAAGGAACUUGCCCUGCAGUCAGGGAUAACAGACGGAAACGACUGAUAAGACCUGGUAAAGUCAGGCGGACUCAUGUCCAGCCUGAUGAAAAGAGAUGCUGCAGGAGAGCCUUGCGUCCUAUUAGCUUGUUGGUGGGGUAACGGCCCACCAAGGCGAUGAUAGGUAGCCGGCCUGAGAGGGUGGACGGCCACAAGGGGACUGAGAUACGGCCCUUACUCCUACGGGAGGCAGCAGUGGGGAAUAUUGGACAAUGGGGGCAACCCUGAUCCAGCAAUUCUGUGUGCACGAUGAAGGUUUUCGGAGUGUAAAGUGCUUUCAGCAGGGAAGAAAAAAAUGACGGUACCUGCAGAAGAAGCGACGACUAAAUACGUG
RNAcentral lists this ribosomal RNA (463 nucleotides) under uncultured bacterium. RNAcentral describes it as "partial 16S ribosomal RNA". It matches the Rfam family "Bacterial small subunit ribosomal RNA", at positions 28 to 507 of the family's 1533-position model. The record is from RNAcentral.